CUGCGCCACAAGUGGGGGCCGUGAUUAUUGGGCCUAAAGCGUUCGUAGCUGGUUCUGUAAAUCUUUUGUGAAAUCGUUGGGCUUAACCUAACGGCGUGCAGAGGAAACUGCGGAACUUGGGACCGGGAGGGGUUAGAAGUAUUUCUGGGGAGCGGUAAAAUGCAGUAAUCCCAGGAGGACUACCUGUGGCGAAGGCGUCUAACCAGAACGGGUCUGACAGUGAGGAACGAAAGCCAGGGGAGCAAACCGGAUUAGAUACCCGAGUAGUCC
This 270-nucleotide ribosomal RNA is filed under the name uncultured archaeon. RNAcentral describes it as "partial 16S ribosomal RNA". It matches the Rfam family "Archaeal small subunit ribosomal RNA", at positions 477 to 747 of the family's 1478-position model. The record is from RNAcentral.